Molecule: ribosomal RNA, 488 nt
Filed under: uncultured bacterium
Lineage: Bacteria
Description: partial 16S ribosomal RNA
Rfam family: Bacterial small subunit ribosomal RNA
Source: RNAcentral
UUGAACGCUGGCGGCAGGCCUAACACAUGCAAGUCGCACGGUAACAGGAAGCAGCUUGCUGCUUCGCUGACGAGUGGCGGCCGGGUGAGUAAUGUCUGGGAAGCUGCCUGAUGGAGGGGGAUAACUACUGGAAACGGUAGCUAAUACCGCAUAAUGUCGCAAGACCAAAGAGGGGGACCUUCGGGCCUCUUGCCAUCGGAUGUGCCCAGAUGGGAUAGCUUGUUGGUGGGGUAACGGCUCACCAAGGCGACGAUCCCUAGCUGGUCUGAGAGGAUGACCAGCCACACUGGGACUGAGACACGGUCCAGACUCCUACGGGAGGCAGCAGUGGGGAAUAUUGCACAAUGGGCGCAAGCCUGAUGCAGCCAUGCCGCGUGUAUGAAGAAGGCCUUCGGGUUGUAAAGUACUUUCAGCGGGGAGGAAGGGAGUAAAGUUAAUACCUUUGCUCAUUGACGUUACCCGCAGAAGAAGCACCGGCUAACUCCGUG